ACUGAGCCGGGCCAAGGAUUGAAUCUACAUCCUCAUGAUACUAGUUGGGUUUGUAACCUGCUGAGGUACAAUGGGAACUCCAAUGCCAGAUCCUUUAACCCACUGCACUGGGACAGGGAUUGAAUCCACACCUCCCAAGCUGCUGCAGUCAAAUUCUUAAUCCACUGCACCACGGCAGGAAAUCUGAGACUUUUGAUUUCAUAAAAUCUUUUGUAUUUCUCCUGUCCAUUAUGCCUAGCAGAGGGUCUGGACUGAAUUCUGUCCAUAUUAGGGAUAACAACAACCACAGGAGAUCAGGCUCUUAAUACACUAAUCUCUGUGUACUCCUGGCUCACAUUUCCUAACUGGUGAUUUGGUGCUAAUUGCUAAUCCUGUGUGAACCUCAGCUUUCUUGGUUAUUUUGUGACAGUUUAAUAACCAACUUACUAGAUUGUUGGGACAACUAAAGGAGUUUAUAUAACUACUGAUAGGUGCUCAGUACAUGGUAAUUCUCAUUAUUAAUAUUUGUGUGUUGUAGUAUUAGAUUUUUUUUCUUUUUUGGCCACCCUGCAGCAUUUCUUUUUUGACCUAUGCCACAACUGUGGCAAUGCCAGAUCCCUUAACCCACCGUGCCUGACUGGGGUUGAAUCUGUGUCCUGGCACUGCAGAGAUGCCACAGAUCCCGUUGUGCCACAGCAGGAACUCCUUAGAUGGUUUUCAAUGUCUGUCAUGUUUCAUCUGCAGAGAGAUAUUUAAUGAUUGAGGAAAAAUGUCUGCUGCUUAAUGAUUGAUGUUGCAAAUCAGUUACCCAGACCUCCCAGCAUACAAAGAGAAAUUGAGAUCAACCUCUUAAUUUACUCAAAAUCUUCUCUGGAGUGAUCCAAGCAAAUGAAAUGUUUUGAAAACUCUCACUAUCAGAGUCACAGGAUGGCAGCCCUCGGUCUGACUCAGGUCAUCUUUCUUUGGACUUUUCUUGUCUUCAUGAGAGGAAAACCCAGGAGACACAGAUGGUGGCUGGGUCACCGAUGGAAUCUUCUCAGGCAAGUGGAAAGAGGAUUUUUCUUCAAAAUGUCAUAUGUAUUUCCAUCUGGUAGCCAUGUCAUGACCCCAAGUUUUUUUUUUUUUCCUUAUUUGGCUGCCCCACAGCAUAUGGAGCAAUUGGACCAGGAAUCAGAUCUGAGCCGCAGUGGCAACCCACUGUGCAGCUUCGGCAACGCUGAAUCCCCAACCCCCUGUGCUGGGAUGUGGAUUGAACUUGCGUCCUAG
Molecule: long non-coding RNA, 1245 nt
Filed under: Sus scrofa (pig)
Lineage: Eukaryota; Metazoa; Chordata; Mammalia; Artiodactyla; Suidae
Description: lncRNA (ENSSSCG00005027441.1)
Source: RNAcentral